CUACGGUGAUGAUAAAAUGAACUCUCUCUUACCGAAUCAGCCUUUGAAGAAGAAACUCUUUACAGAUUCUGAGUAGC
RNAcentral lists this small nucleolar RNA (77 nucleotides) under Oncorhynchus tshawytscha (Chinook salmon). RNAcentral describes it as "Small nucleolar RNA SNORD26". It matches the Rfam family "Small nucleolar RNA SNORD26". Rfam says of the family: U26 is a member of the C/D class of snoRNA which contain the C (UGAUGA) and D (CUGA) box motifs. U26 is encoded within the U22 snoRNA host gene (UHG) in mammals and is thought to act as a 2'-O-ribose methylation guide for ribosomal RNA. The record is from Rfam by way of RNAcentral. Lineage: Eukaryota; Metazoa; Chordata; Actinopteri; Salmoniformes; Salmonidae.